This 341-nucleotide ribosomal RNA is filed under the name uncultured Coprococcus sp. RNAcentral's name for it is "bacterial SSU rRNA". It matches the Rfam family "Bacterial small subunit ribosomal RNA", at positions 28 to 339 of the family's 1533-position model. The record is from RNAcentral. Lineage: Bacteria; Bacillati; Bacillota; Clostridia; Lachnospirales; Lachnospiraceae.
GAUAAACGCUGGCGGCGUGCUUAACACAUGCAAGUCGAACGGAGUAUUUCUCCCGAGACCGAGGAAGCUUGCUUCCGAAGAAUCAUUUGAAAUACUUAGUGGCGGACGGGUGAGUAACGCGUGGGUAACCUGCCUCACACUGGGGGAUAGCAGUUGGAAACGGCUGAUAAUACCGCAUAAGCGCACAAUACCGCAUGGUAUGGUGUGAAAACUCCGGUGGUACAGGAUGGACCCGCGUCCAAUUAGCUAGUUGGUGAGGUAACGGCCCACCAAGGCGACGAUUGGUAGCCGAUCUGAGAGGAUGACCGGCCACAUUGGGACUGAGACACGGCCCAAACUCC